CCUACGGGAGGCAGCAGUGAGGAAUAUUGGUCAAUGCGCGCGAGCCUGAAGCAGCCAAGCCGCGUGAAGGAUGACUGCCCUACGGGUUUUAAACUCUUUCUACAAAGGAAUAAAGUGCAGUACGUGUGCCUUUUUGUAUGUACUUUAUGAAUAAGGAUCGGCUAACCCCGGGCCAGCAGCCGCGGUAAUACGGAGGAUCCGAGCGUUAGCUGGAUUUAUUGGGUUUAAAGGGACCGUAGAUGGGUUGUUAAGUCAGUUGUGAAAGUUUGCGGCUCAACCGUAAAAAUGCAAUUGAUACUGGCAGUCUAGAGUACAGGUGAGGUAGGCGGAAUUCGUGGUGUAGCGGUGAAAUGCUUAGAUAUCACGAAGAACUCCGGUUGCGAAGGCAGCUUACUAAACUGCCACUGACAUUGAUGCUCGAAAGUGUGGGUAUCAAACAGGAUUAGAUACCCUGGUAGUC
RNAcentral lists this ribosomal RNA (460 nucleotides) under uncultured bacterium. RNAcentral's name for it is "partial 16S ribosomal RNA". It matches the Rfam family "Bacterial small subunit ribosomal RNA", at positions 338 to 795 of the family's 1533-position model. The record is from RNAcentral.